RNAcentral lists this non-coding RNA (175 nucleotides) under Microbacterium sp. RNAcentral also lists the same sequence under 1 other name. Lineage: Bacteria; Bacillati; Actinomycetota; Actinomycetes; Micrococcales; Microbacteriaceae. The record is from RNAcentral.
AACGUGCUCCGGGGUCGGUGAGAAUCCGAACCGGCGGUGACAGUCCGCGAACCCGAUGCCCAGCCCGCGAGGUCUGGGAUAUCGGGCCGAUCCGGUGGAAUUCCGGGACCGACGGUGAUGCGGCAGUCCUCCUGCGGGAGGGCUGCGCGCUAGUCCGGAUGAGAGGCAGCACGCC